RNAcentral lists this transfer RNA (68 nucleotides) under Marmota monax (woodchuck). RNAcentral describes it as "tRNA.Ala". The record is from RNAcentral. Lineage: Eukaryota; Metazoa; Chordata; Mammalia; Rodentia; Sciuridae.
AUUGUGGCUCAGUGGCAGAACGCUUGCCUGGCAUGUAUGAGGCACUGGGUUCGAUCCUCAGCACCAUA